Molecule: ribosomal RNA, 1353 nt
Filed under: Exophiala bergeri
Lineage: Eukaryota; Fungi; Ascomycota; Eurotiomycetes; Chaetothyriales; Herpotrichiellaceae
Description: LSU rRNA
Rfam family: Eukaryotic large subunit ribosomal RNA
Source: RNAcentral
AUAUCAAUAAGCGGAGGAAAAGAAACCAACAGGGAUUGCCUCAGUAACGGCGAGUGAAGCGGCAACAGCUCAAAUUUGAAAUCUGGCCUCUUUGGGGUCCGAGUUGUAAUUUGUAGAGGAUGUUUCGGGUACCGCCUCGGUCUAAAUUUCUUGGAACAGAAUGUCAGAGAGGGUGAGAAUCCCGUCUUGGACCGGCGGUAGGGCCCAUGUGAAACUCCUUCGACGAGUCGAGUUGUUUGGGAAUGCAGCUCAAAAUGGGUGGUAUAUUUCAUCUAAAGCUAAAUAUUGGCCAGAGACCGAUAGCGCACAAGUAGAGUGAUCGAAAGAUGAAAAGAACUUUGAAAAGAGAGUUAAACAGUAUGUGAAAUUGUUGAAAGGGAAGCGCUUGCAACCAGACUUGAGCGCGGCGGUUCCCCCUUCCUUUUGGUUGGGUUACUCCGUCGUGUCCAGGCCAACAUCGGUUCUGGGGGUCGGUUAAAGGCCUGGGGAAUGUAUCUACGUCUUCGGGCGUAGACUUAUAGCCCCGGGUGUCAUGCGACCUCCCGGGACCGAGGAACGCGCUUCGGCUCGGAUGUUGGCGUAAUGGUUGUAAGCGACCCGUCUUGAAACACGGACCAAGGAGUCUAACAUCUAUGCGAGUGUUUGGGUGUCAAACCCGGAACGCGGAAUGAAAGUGAACGGAGGUAGGAAGCUUCGGCUGCACUAUCGACCGAUCCUGAUGUCUUCGGAUGGAUUUGAGUAAGAGCAUAGCUGUUGGGACCCGAAAGAUGGUGAACUAUGCCUGAAUAGGGUGAAGCCAGAGGAAACUCUGGUGGAGGCUCGCAGCGGUUCUGACGUGCAAAUCGAUCGUCAAAUUUGGGUAUAGGGGCGAAAGACUAAUCGAACCAUCUGGUAGCUGGUUCCUGCCGAAGUUUCCCUCAGGAUAGCAGUAACGAAAUCAGUUUUAUGAGGUAAAGCGAAUGAUUAGAGGCCUUGGGGUUGAAACAACCUUAACCUAUUCUCAAACUUUAAAUAUGUAAGAAGUCCUUGUUGCUUAAUUGAACGUGGACAUUUGAAUGUAUCGUUACUAGUGGGCCAUUUUUGGUAAGCAGAACUGGCGAUGCGGGAUGAACCGAACGUGAGGUUAAGGUGCCGGAAUGCACGCUCAUCAGACACCACAAAAGGUGUCAAUGCAUCUAGACAGCCGGACGGUGGCCAUGGAAGUCGGAAUCCGCUUAGGAGUGUGUAACAACUCACCGGCCGAAUGCAUUGGCCCUGAAAAUGGAUGGCGCUUAAGCGUGUUACCUAUACCUCGCCGUUAGGGUUGACAUGAUGCCCUAACGAGUAGGCAGGCGUGGAGGUCCGUGACGAAGC